Long non-coding RNA from Juglans microcarpa x Juglans regia, 464 nucleotides. RefSeq lists it as uncharacterized. Lineage: Eukaryota; Viridiplantae; Streptophyta; Magnoliopsida; Fagales; Juglandaceae. The record is from RefSeq and is a predicted model, not a curated record. The transcript is spliced from 2 exons.
GACGUCACUUUAGAAGCUACGUCGUAUUAAAGAUCGUGGCCUAACAACUAUGGGCGUAACGUUGACCCCUAACACAAGAUAGCAUGAUCUCGGCCCGGGUUGCUGGAACUUAACCCAGGUAUACAAAACACGUCAUCAAUGUAUCCUUUCCGUGAAGGUUUACAGUAUUCCUUUAUCCAUGUAAUUUAUCACGUCUAAAGGUGGAACUUUAAAGGCGACGUUGUCUCUUUUGACAAGCUGCAGAGUUCAGUCCUUUGUCCCGAAACAUAAAAGAAAUAGGGAGAAACCAAAUUCCCUCAUGAAACAAGUUUGUAAUGAGUUUGUUCAAUCAAAGGCUGCUGCAUUUUCUGUGAUGCAGAUUGGUAUCUCUUCUGUAGAAAAGUAUGCUUGUAAAAUUGGUUGUCCGGGAACCACUAGUAGUUUGUGGUCUGAAUUCAUGAGGCCGUCUUGUUGUUUGAACAGAA